This 17-nucleotide unclassified non-coding RNA is filed under the name Mus musculus (house mouse). RNAcentral's name for it is "oocyte_clustered_small_RNA6806". The record is from RNAcentral. Lineage: Eukaryota; Metazoa; Chordata; Mammalia; Rodentia; Muridae.
GAUCAGUCAGAAACAUC